RNAcentral lists this ribosomal RNA (224 nucleotides) under uncultured bacterium. RNAcentral's name for it is "partial 16S ribosomal RNA". It matches the Rfam family "Bacterial small subunit ribosomal RNA", at positions 15 to 228 of the family's 1533-position model. The record is from RNAcentral.
GAUCAUGGCUCAGGAUGAACGCUGGCGGCGUGCCUAAUACAUGCAAGUAGAACGCUGAAGGAAGGAGCUUGCUCUUUCCGGAUGAGUUGCGAACGGGUGAGUAACGCGUAGGUAACCUGCCUGGUAGCGGGGGGAUAACUAUUGGAAACGAUAGCUAAUACCGCAUAACAGUAGAUAUUGCAUGAUAUCUGCUUGAAAGGUGCAAUUGUAUCACUACCAGAUGG